CCGCCUACGGGAGGCAGCAGUGGGGAAUAUUGGGCAAUGGGCGAAAGCCUGACCCAGCAACGCCGCGUGAAGGAAGAAGGCUUUCGGGUUGUAAACUUCUUUUGACAGGGAAGAGCAGAAGACGGUACCUGUCGAAUAAGCCACGGCUAACUACGUGCCAGCAGCCGCGGUAAUACGUAGGUGGCAAGCGUUGUCCGGAUUUACUGGGUGUAAAGGGCGUGUAGCCGGGCUGACAAGUCAGAUGUGAAACCCAUGGGCUCAACCCAUGGCCUGCAUUUGAAACUGUAGUUCUUGAGUGAUGGAGA
RNAcentral lists this ribosomal RNA (305 nucleotides) under uncultured bacterium. RNAcentral describes it as "bacterial SSU rRNA". It matches the Rfam family "Bacterial small subunit ribosomal RNA", at positions 335 to 655 of the family's 1533-position model. The record is from RNAcentral.